Molecule: microRNA precursor, 228 nt
Filed under: Mus caroli (Ryukyu mouse)
Lineage: Eukaryota; Metazoa; Chordata; Mammalia; Rodentia; Muridae
Description: miRNA (MGP_CAROLIEiJ_G0007408.1)
Source: RNAcentral
UUCCCCUUCCCCCUUCCCCUACCCCUUCCCCUUUCUCUUCUUCUUCAGGGAGGAUCAUGGAAACACAUUCUAAGUACAUUUCUAUGUUUUGAGGAAACUGGGGUCACAAGAUUUGUGUUCUCAGAGUUUUCUCACAAGCACUCACAAUUUUCCCCAGUGAUUCUAAUUCUUAGAACUUUUCCAAUAGAAGCAGCACUAAUCUCUUUAGGAAAACUUAAAGAAAGUGUG